Anthonomus grandis grandis is the source of this 589-nucleotide long non-coding RNA. RefSeq lists it as uncharacterized. The transcript is spliced from 3 exons. The record is from RefSeq and is a predicted model, not a curated record. NCBI's taxonomy places the organism in Eukaryota, Metazoa, Arthropoda, Insecta, Coleoptera, Curculionidae.
CGGUUUUGUCUUAGUUUUGUCCUUCUAAAUCCAACGAGACCUUCCGCGAGGUCGUAGUUCUAAUAGUUGCUGAGAUAUCGCAUUUUUGGAGCCCAUUUUUGGCCUCAAAAACGAGGUCGAAAAACGACUUUUUCCGAAUUUUCAAAGUGCUCUCAUUCCCUUAGUUCUGCUCGAAUCCUGUUAUAACCCGGUAUUUUCGUAAUCUAGGUGACCUAAAUAAGACGCUGGUAUACUUAGUUUAAUUUCGAAAAAAAAAAUUUUUGGUGAAAAAAUUCGAUACGGGGGGGUAUACCCGAAAAACGAAAAAACCCAAACUUUGAAGGCCGAUAUCUCGGCUUCUAUGGGUACUAUCGGGAAAGUUCCAACGGUUUAGUCUUAGUUUCGUCCUUCUGAAUCCAACGAGACCAUCCGCAAGGUCGUAGCUCUUACAAUAGCUGAGAUAUCGCAUUUUUGGAGCCCAUUUUUGGCCUCAAAAACGAGGUCGAAAAACGACUUUUUCCGAAUUUUCAAAGUGCUCUCAUUCCCUUAGUUCUGCUCGAAUCCUGUUAUAACCCGGUACUUUCGUAAUCUAGGUGACCUAAAUAAGACG